Molecule: non-coding RNA, 69 nt
Filed under: Acinetobacter baumannii
Lineage: Bacteria; Pseudomonadati; Pseudomonadota; Gammaproteobacteria; Moraxellales; Moraxellaceae
Source: RNAcentral
AAGCGAAACACAGGCAUUCGUGCCUGUGUCUGCCAAUCGUCGUGGAUUGGUACUGAUGAGCAGCGAUAA